This 449-nucleotide ribosomal RNA is filed under the name Streptococcus sobrinus. Its description in RNAcentral is "bacterial SSU rRNA". It matches the Rfam family "Bacterial small subunit ribosomal RNA", at positions 28 to 460 of the family's 1533-position model. The record is from RNAcentral. Lineage: Bacteria; Bacillati; Bacillota; Bacilli; Lactobacillales; Streptococcaceae.
GACGAACGCUGGCGGCGUGCCUAAUACAUGCAAGUGGAACGCAUUGGUAACACCGGACUUGCUCCAGUGUUACUAAUGAGUCGCGAACGGGUGAGUAACGCGUAGGUAACCUGCCUGAUAGCGGGGGAUAACUAUUGGAAACGAUAGCUAAUACCGCAUAAGAGGAGUUAACUCAUGUUAACUGUUUAAAAGAAGCAACGGCUUCACUAUCAGAUGGACCUGCGUUGUAUUAGCUAGUAGGUAGGGUAACGGCCUACCUAGGCAACGAUACAUAGCCGACCUGAGAGGGUGAACGGCCACACUGGGACUGAGACACGGCCCAGACUCCUACGGGAGGCAGCAGUAGGGAAUCUUCGGCAAUGGACGCAAGUCUGACCGAGCAACGCCGCGUGAGUGAAGACGGUUUUCGGAUCGUAAAGCUCUGUUGUAGGGGAAGAACGUGUGUAAGA